UGGGGAAUUUUGCGCAAUGGGGGAAACCCUGACGCAGCAACGCCGCGUGAGUGAUGAAGGCCUUCGGGUCGUAAAGCUCUGUCAGAGGGGAAGAAAUGCAGGGGUGCUAAUAUCAUCUUUGCUUGACGGUACCCUCAAAGGAAGCACCGGCUAACUCCGUGCCAGCAGCCGCGGUAAUACGGAGGGUGCGAGCGUUGUUCGGAAUUAUUGGGCGUAAAGCGCGUGUGGGCGGUUUGAUAAGUCUGAUGUGAAAGCCCCGGGCUCGACCUGGGAAGUGCAUUGGAAACUGUCAGACUUGAAUACGGGAGAGGGUAGUGGAAUUCCUAGUGUAGGAGUGAAAUCCGUAGAUAUUAGGAGGAACACCGGUGGCGAAGGCGGCUACCUGGACCGAUAUUGACGCUGAGACGCGAAAGCGUGGGGAGCAAACAG
This 429-nucleotide ribosomal RNA is filed under the name uncultured bacterium. Its description in RNAcentral is "bacterial SSU rRNA". It matches the Rfam family "Bacterial small subunit ribosomal RNA", at positions 355 to 775 of the family's 1533-position model. The record is from RNAcentral.